UUACGGCCACACCACGUCAAAACACCGGUUCCCAAAGUUAAGCAACGCUGAUCCUGGUCAGUACCUAGAUGGGUGACCACUUGGGAAUACCAGAUGUUGUAA
Molecule: non-coding RNA, 102 nt
Organism: Acanthosepion pharaonis
Lineage: Eukaryota; Metazoa; Mollusca; Cephalopoda; Sepiida; Sepiidae
Source: the annotation of a GenBank genome assembly